AUGCGUAUCGGAAACUCGUCCAAAAACUGGACACAAACGUGUCUGGUCUUUGGGGGAGGCCCAGGCUUUGGGGGAAGUAGAGAGAGGCUUACAUCACGCAAUUGGACUAAUAUCAGCCCUAUGGACGAGCAUUAUCGCAACUUAAGCGCCUUUUGCGGCAUCGAUGGACCCACCAAAAAACCCCUAGGAGCUUAUGGGUCCGRGAACAGACCCUUCCAGGGCCCAUACAAUAUAGGGCCUCCCAGGGCAUUGCCACCUGGAGUAUUUCUUAUAUGUGGGGACCGAGCUUGGCAGGGCAUUCCUGGGAACGCGUAUGGGGGACCGUGCUAUCUGGGAAAAUUGACACUAUUGGCCCCGGAUACCAAUUGGUGGAAGAAUGUCACAAGUGGGAAGAUUGCUACCCGCCGCAAGAGAGCUGUUACUGGCUUAUCCCCCGACUGUGAUGACAGGGUGUCCCUGUUAAGUCCCACAGAGCGAGUGUUUCUGUCCCUUUUUGUACCYGGGGCAGCCGCCGGCGACGCCCUGAACCAGAUCGGGCGUUUAGCCUGCUGGGCGGAAAAACAAGCCAAYGUCACCACGCARGUGAUUGAAAGCCUGCUAGAAGACCAAAAGGGCCUAAGGCAUGCCAUACUGCAAGACCGGGCUGCAAUUGACUUUCUAUUGCUAGCCCAAGGCCAUGGUUGUGAGGAUUUUGAAGGUAUGUGCUGUAUGAACUUGUCUGAUCAUAGUGAAUCCAUUCACAAACAAUUGCGGUGGUUGAAGAAGCACACAGGCAAAAUCCGUCAGAACCAUGGGUUUUUAGACGAAUGGCUCACUAACCUGUUUGGCAAUCUACCACAGUGGCUAAUAGGACUGCUCGCUGAAGGCUUGCGCAUUKUGCUAAUCCUCAUAAUUAUAGGCUUAUGCUUGUGUGUAAUACUGAGCUGCGUUAAGAAAGCCUUGCUGAAAGUAGCGGGCCAAGUCUGGAUUGCUCGAAAACAAGAAGGAGAACUUCUGGAGGAAUGGCUGGGCUUUGGGGGGGGAUAUAGUCUGUUGGAGAUGAGCAAGCCCGCCUAUGCCCUUAAGGGUUUCCCUAAACGACGAAGACACGGACAUCGCCUGCGUUAA
RNAcentral lists this long non-coding RNA (1107 nucleotides) under Apteryx haastii (Great spotted kiwi). Its description in RNAcentral is "lncRNA (ENSAHAG00000015021.1)". The record is from RNAcentral. Lineage: Eukaryota; Metazoa; Chordata; Aves; Apterygiformes; Apterygidae.